UACGUAGGGUGCGAGCGUUGCCCGGAAUUACUGGGCGUAAAGCGCGUGUAGGCGGUUAUGCAAGUCGGGUGUGAAAGCCCGGAGCUCAACUCCGGAAGUGCAUUCGAUACUGCGUAGCUAGAGUACUGGAGAGGAUGGUGGAACUCUCGGUGUAGAGGUGAAAUUCGUAGAUAUCGAGAAGAACACCGGUGGCGAAGGCGGCCAUCUGGACAGAUACUGACGCUGAGACGCGAAAGCGUGGGGAGCAAACAGG
RNAcentral lists this ribosomal RNA (253 nucleotides) under uncultured bacterium. RNAcentral describes it as "partial 16S ribosomal RNA". It matches the Rfam family "Bacterial small subunit ribosomal RNA", at positions 524 to 776 of the family's 1533-position model. The record is from RNAcentral.